AUUGAACGCUGGCGGAAUGCUUUACACAUGCAAGUCGAACGGCAGCACGGGUGCUUGCACCUGGUGGCGAGUGGCGAACGGGUGAGUAAUGCACCGGAACGUACCUUUCAGUGGGGGAUAACGUAGCGAAAGUUACGCUAAUACCGCAUAUUCUGUGAGCAGGAAAGCAGGGGAUCGCAAGACCUUGCGCUGAUUGAGCGGCCGAUGUCAGAUUAGCUAGUUGGUGAGGUAAAGGCUCACCAAGGCGACGAUCUGUAGCGGGUCUGAGAGGAUGAUCCGCCACACUGGAACUGAGACACGGUCCAGACUCCUACGGGAGGCAGCAGUGGGGAAUUUUGGACAAUGGGCGCAAGCCUGAUCCAGCCAUGCCGCGUGAGUGAAGAAGGCCUCGG
This 392-nucleotide ribosomal RNA is filed under the name uncultured bacterium. Its description in RNAcentral is "bacterial SSU rRNA". It matches the Rfam family "Bacterial small subunit ribosomal RNA", at positions 30 to 420 of the family's 1533-position model. The record is from RNAcentral.